UACGGAGGGGGCAAGCGUUGUUCGGAAUUACUGGGCGUAAAGGGCUCGUAGGCGGCCAACUAAGUCAGACGUGAAAUCCCCAGGCUCAACCUGGGAACUGCGUCUGAUACUGGAUGGCUUGAAUUCGGGAGAGGGAUGCAGAAUUCCAGGUGUAGCGGUGAAAUGCGUAGAUAUCUGGAGGAAUACCGGUGGCGAAGGCGGCAUCCUGGACCGACAUUGACGCUGAUGAGCGAAAGCUAGGGGAGCGAACAGG
Molecule: ribosomal RNA, 253 nt
Filed under: uncultured bacterium
Lineage: Bacteria
Description: partial 16S ribosomal RNA
Rfam family: Bacterial small subunit ribosomal RNA
Source: RNAcentral